GAUGAACGCUGGCGGCGUGCCUAAUACAUGCAAGUCGAGCGAACAGAUGAGGAGCUUGCUCCUCUGACGUUAGCGGCGGACGGGUGAGUAACACGUGGAUAACCUACCUAUAAGACUGGGAUAACUUCGGGAAACCGGAGCUAAUACCGUAUAAUAUAUUGAACCGCAUGGUUCAAUAGUGAAAGACGGUUUUGCUGUCACUUAUAGAUGGAUCCGCGCCGCAUUAGCUAGUUGGUAAGGUAACGGCUUACCAAGGCAACGAUGCGUAGCCGACCUGAGAGGGUGAUCGGCCACACUGGAACUGAGACACGGUCCAGACUCCUACGGGAGGCAGCAGUAGGGAAUCUUCCGCAAUGGGCGAAAGCCUGACGGAGCAACGCCGCGUGAGUGAUGAAGGUCUUCGGAUCGUAAAACUCUGUUAUUAGGGAAGAACAAAUGUGUAAGUAACUAUGCACGUCUUGACGGUACCUAAUCAGAAAGCCACGGCUAACUACGUG
RNAcentral lists this ribosomal RNA (497 nucleotides) under uncultured bacterium. RNAcentral describes it as "partial 16S ribosomal RNA". It matches the Rfam family "Bacterial small subunit ribosomal RNA", at positions 28 to 507 of the family's 1533-position model. The record is from RNAcentral.